This 441-nucleotide ribosomal RNA is filed under the name uncultured bacterium. RNAcentral's name for it is "partial 16S ribosomal RNA". It matches the Rfam family "Bacterial small subunit ribosomal RNA", at positions 338 to 795 of the family's 1533-position model. The record is from RNAcentral.
CCUACGGGUGGCAGCAGUGGGGGAUAUUGCACAAUGGGGGAAACCCUGAUGCAGCGACGCCGCGUGAGUGAAGAAGUAUUUCGGUAUGUAAAGCCCUAUCAGCAGGGAAGAAAAAAGACGGUACCUGACUAAGAAGCCCCGGCAAACUACGUGCCAGCACCCGCGGUAAUACGUAGGGGGCAAGCGUUAUCCGGAUUUACUGGGUGUAAAGGGAGCGUAGACGGCAAUACAAGUCGGAUGUGAAAUACCCGGUCUCAACCUGUGAACGGCUUGGGAAACUGUAUGGCUAGAGUGCUGGAGAGGUAAGCGGAAUUCCUGGUGUAGCGGUGAAAUGCGUAGAUAUUAGGAGGAACACCAGUGGCGAAGGCGGCUUACUGGACAGUAACUGACGUUGAGGCUCGAAGGCGUGGGGAGCAAACAGGAUUAGAUACCCCUGUAGUC